This 384-nucleotide long non-coding RNA is filed under the name Homo sapiens (human). Its description in RNAcentral is "HSALNT0388810". The record is from RNAcentral. Lineage: Eukaryota; Metazoa; Chordata; Mammalia; Primates; Hominidae.
GCCCCCGAUGCCGCAGGAGCCCUUCAUGGAGCUGGAGGAGGUGAACUGGCGGCUGCAGGUGCUCAUGGUGCCGAGGAGGGAGACAGGCCCCAACAGCCCCUGCUGGAGGCUCCACUGCUCUUCCUGGGAUCAACUGUUCCUAGAAGAGAAGCAGGACCUCUCUCACCCCACCCCCAACCUUGACUGUCACCAAAGAAGAAGCCAGAGAGGGGAGCCCCCCACUACUGUGGCCUAGGAGCUUGGAAGACAAUACUGAGACAGACACCUGUGCUGUGGGCUCCCCAAAUCUGCCAGCAAAGGACUCUCGAGGAUGCUGUGAGGCUCCAGGAGGUUUCUGGAAAGCACCUGCAACUCCCCUCCCAUCAGUUCAAGAACAGAGAUCAC